CUACAUAGAUGAUAACAUCCCAGAUAUGGGGUCAGGGCGCGCCCGUCUAGCACUUGAUCUCCUUCAGCCCGUGCGCGAAGUAGAGGAAGGUUGGGUCGGUGGCUCCAUCCUUGUAGUAGGCGAACACCAGGCUUCCAUCAUCAUGCAUGCUCUCGCCAACAAAGCUGCAAAAAACCAGACAAACAUUUAGUACGAGCUAUUCACGGAAUUUAGUUGUGAAGCAAAAUGACAGAAAGCAGCAGUACAAAAAUCAGUAAUAGAACAAUAAUGCAGACAGCACAACCUAUCAUUCUAGCUCGAGCAACACGAAUUUAAACACAAUGGCGAAUAAGAACAUAGAAAGCAAACAUCAAAAAUGGAUGCCACACUGCAAAAGAAUAUAGGUACUUACAACUAAUAUAACAUAUUUUUAAUUAACCCAGAGCAGUACAAAAAUUAUUUUUGCACAAGAGUGUAUGAAAAUAUAUUAUAAUUCAAGCUCCAUGCAGAAUCAUAGGUGAGAAUUCAACGAUAGCACAAGCAACUUGAAUCCAAGUAAUAACAAAAGAAAAUUGCACAAGCAACGUGAAUCUAAGUAACAAAAGAAAACUAUGUGAUUAAAUCCACCGAGGUACAGUUUUCAUGAACAGCUACCAGAAUGGUACUUCAGAGAGAAUCACUAGACACUAGAUAUCAAAUAUAUAGCAUGAUUCGGGUAUAGAACUUACAACUGGAGGUCCUUGAGCUUUCCAAGAAGGUACUUGGUGGCACCCUCAAUGCCCUUCUUGAAUUCCGCUUGCUGCUCCGGCUCCAGCUUGGCAGUAAGGUUCUUGAUGUAGCGCUUCAUGAAGGUCACAAACUGCUUCUUGUCAAAGGCAGGUUGCUCCUGCAAAUGUGAUUACAUGGUUAGUACAAACUCAAAGAACAGAAAUAUAACCAGGGCAACAGAACUCCAGAUGAGUUAGCAACCUGAAGACGGAAGGUGUCAACAAUGUCAACAACCUUCACCGCCUGAUCAUCAACACCCUCAUCAUCGCCACCACCCUCGGCAGACGGGUUGGCACCAAUGUCAACAUCUACAGCUCCUUGGACGACC
RNAcentral lists this long non-coding RNA (1075 nucleotides) under Setaria viridis. Its description in RNAcentral is "long non-coding RNA (SVIR_LNC009964)". Lineage: Eukaryota; Viridiplantae; Streptophyta; Magnoliopsida; Poales; Poaceae. The record is from RNAcentral.